This 253-nucleotide ribosomal RNA is filed under the name uncultured bacterium. RNAcentral describes it as "partial 16S ribosomal RNA". It matches the Rfam family "Bacterial small subunit ribosomal RNA", at positions 524 to 776 of the family's 1533-position model. The record is from RNAcentral.
UACGAAGGGGGCUAGCGUUGCUCGGAAUCACUGGGCGUAAAGGGUGCGUAGGCGGGUCUUUAAGUCAGGGGUGAAAUCCUGGAGCUCAACUCCAGAACUGCCUUUGAUACUGAGGAUCUUGAGUUCGGGAGAGGUGAGUGGAACUGCGAGUGUAGUGGUGAAAUUCGUAGAUAUUCGCAAGAACACCAGUGGCGAAGGCGGCUCACUGGCCCGGUACUGACGCUGAGGUGCGAAAGCGUGGGGAGCAAACAGG